AUACCCAAACAGCUAGCCCCCCUCCCCCCAAAAAAUGCACCUUGACCCCCCCCCCCCAAACCAUUUUCCCACCUAAGUAUAGGAGAUAGAAAAGGACCUUCCGACGCCAUAGAAAAAGUACCGCAAGGGAAAGCUGAAAGAAUAAAUGAAAAAAUGUAGUUAAGGCAAGAAAAGCAGAGAUUACCCCUCGUACCUUUUGCAUCAUGAUUUAGCCAGCACCCCCAAGCAAAGAGCCCUUUAUGUUUGAACCCCCGAAACUGAGGCGAGCUACUCCAAGUCAGCUUAUAUCUGAGCAAAUCCGUCUCUGUCGCAAAAGAGUGGAAAGAAUUUCGAGUAGAGGUGACAAGCCUACCGAGCCCAGUUAUAGCUGGUUGUCUGGGAAAUGAAUAGAAGUUCAACCCUUUAGUUUUUUCAACCAAAGAGGACCCUCCCGCCCACGUACAAAAGAAACUAAAAGAGCUACUCAAGAGAGGAACAGCUCUCUUGAGAAAAGAUACAACUUUACAAAGAAGAUUAAAGACCCUAAUCAUAAAGGAACACACCCAAGUGGGCUUAAAAGCAGCCACCUUAAUAAACAGCGUUAAAGCUUAAAUAUAUUACCCCCCCCCCCCCCAUUCCGACAAAACCAUCUUACAUCUCUUUCCAUACCAGACCUUCCCAUGCACACAUGGGAGCGAUCCUGCUAAUAUGAGUAAUAAGAGGCCCAAGCCCCUCUCCCUACAUCCGUGUACGCCAGAACCAACCCAGACUGAAUAUUAACGCCCCCACAAGAGAGCAUUAGCACAACACUAAAAAACAAGAGAACCCCCUAACAAAUAGCGUUAGCCCAACACAGGAGUGUCCCAGGAAAGACAAAAAGAAAAAGAAGGAACUCGGCAAACACCCGGUCUCGCCUGUUUACCAAAAACAUCGCCUCUUGCCAUACCCUGUAUAAGAGGUCCCGCCUGCCCUGUGACAUAAAAUUUAACGGCCGCGGUAUUCUGACCGUGCAAAGGUAGCGUAAUCACUUGUCUUUUAAAUAAAGACCCGUAUGAAUGGCAUCACGAAGACCAAGCUGUCUCCUUUUUCCAGUCAAUGAAAUUGAUCUGCCCGUGCAGAAGCGAGCAUAAUAACAUAAGACGAGAAGACCCUAUGGAGCUUUAGACAUAAGCAACUCACUUUAAGUUCAUGAGAUAAUAUGAACCAAAACACAAGUGCCCCCCCCCCUGCUUCAUUGUCUUUGGUUGGGGCGACCACGGAGAAACAAAAAACCCCCGAGAGGAAAGGGGACCCUAUACCCACCCCCUUAUACAAGAGCAACAGCCCUAAUAAACAGAAAAUCUGACCUAUAAGAUCCGGCCCCGCCGAUCAACGGACCGAGUUACCCUAGGGAUAACAGCGCAAUCCCCUUCCAGAGCCCAUAUCGACAAGGGGGUUUACGACCUCGAUGUUGGAUCAGGACAUCCUAAUGGUGCAACCGCUAUUAAGGGUUCGUUUGUUCAACGAUUAAAGUCCUACGUGAUCUGAGUUCAGACCGGAGUAAUCCAGGUCAGUUUCUAUCUAUGGAAUGCUCUUUUACAGUACGAAAGGACCUAAAAGAGAGGGCCCCUAUCCUAUGCAAGCCCUCCCCCUAGACUAAUGAAAUCAAAUAAUGUAAAUAAAAGGACAUUUCAUUUUUAAAAGCAGAAGAUUAGCUGCAACUUA
Molecule: ribosomal RNA, 1683 nt
Filed under: Trimma okinawae (Okinawa rubble goby)
Lineage: Eukaryota; Metazoa; Chordata; Actinopteri; Gobiiformes; Gobiidae
Description: 16S rRNA
Rfam family: Bacterial large subunit ribosomal RNA
Source: RNAcentral